RNAcentral lists this ribosomal RNA (250 nucleotides) under uncultured bacterium. Its description in RNAcentral is "partial 16S ribosomal RNA". It matches the Rfam family "Bacterial small subunit ribosomal RNA", at positions 524 to 773 of the family's 1533-position model. The record is from RNAcentral.
UACGGAGGGUGCAAGCGUUGUUCGGAAUUAUUGGGCGUAAAGCGCGUGUAGGCGGCUAUUUAAGUCUGAUGUGAAAGCCCGGGGCUCAACCUCGGAAGUGCAUUGGAAACUGGAUAGCUUGAGUACGGGAGAGGGUAGUGGAAUUUCGAGUGUAGGGGUAAAAUCCGUAGAGAUCACCAGGAAUACCCAUUGCGAAGGCGACUUACUGGACUGUAACUGACGCUGAGGCACGAAAGCGUGGGGAGCAAAC